Vicia faba (fava bean) is the source of this 279-nucleotide non-coding RNA. The record is from the annotation of a GenBank genome assembly. NCBI's taxonomy places the organism in Eukaryota, Viridiplantae, Streptophyta, Magnoliopsida, Fabales, Fabaceae.
AUGAAUCUCCUUCAACUGGUGCAUAGACGGCUCACUUGGAAAAGACAUGAAAGCCCCUGCGUGCCUAUAAAAUCACUUCAACGAUGCUUUUCCUUUCGUGAAUCCAAUCUAAAUCCCAAAAAGCUCUCUGGCCGAAACCCUAAACCCCUUUCUCCACGCAUCGAAACCCUAAUUUUCCAUUCGUAUCUUCAUCAAGCAACACACAAGUCACGCUUUCCCCUUAUUCUUCAGACGCUGGUUUUCUAUCGUAUCAAGGGAUACAUCAUUGAAUUUUCUUGA